AGAGUUUGAUCCUGGCUCAGGACGAACGCUGGCGGCGUGCUUAACACAUGCAAGUCGAGCGGUAAGUCCCCUUCGGGGGUACACGAGCGGCGAACGGGUGAGUAACACGUGAGUAACCUGCCCCUGACUCUGGGAUAAGCCUGGGAAACUGGGUCUAAUACCGGAUAUGACCUCGUGCCGCAUGGUGUGGGGUGGAAAGGUGUUUUUCCGGUCAGGGAUGGGCUCGCGGCCUAUCAGCUUGUUGGUGGGGUAACGGCCUACCAAGGCGAUGACGGGUAGCCGGCCUGAGAGGGCGACCGGCCACACUGGGGCUGAGACACGGCCCAGACUCCUGCGGGAGGCAGCAGUGGGGAAUAUUGCGCAAUGGGCGGAAGCCUGACGCAGCGACGCCGCGUGGGGGAUGAAGGCCUUCGGGUUGUAAACCUCUUUUACCACUCACGAAGGCCCCUGGUUUUCUGGGGGUUGACGGUAGGUGGUGAAUAAGGACCGGCUAACUACGUGCCAGCAGCCGCGGUAAUACGUAGGGUCCGAGCGUUGUCCGGAAUUAUUGGGCGUAAAGAGCUCGUAGGCGGCCUGUCGCGUCUGCUGUGAAAGUCCGGGGCUUAACUCCGGGUGUGCAGUGGAUACGGGCAGGCUUGAGGUAGGUAGGGGAGACUGGAAUUCCUGGUGUAGCGGUGAAAUGCGCAGAUAUCAGGAGGAACACCGGUGGCGAAGGCGGGUCUCUGGGCCUUACCUGACGCUGAGGAGCGAAAGCGUGGGGAGCGAACAGGAUUAGAUACCCUGGUAGUCCACGCCGUAAACGUUGGGCGCUAGGUGUGGGGACUUUCCACGGUUUCCGUGCCGUAGCUAACGCAUUAAGCGCCCCGCCUGGGGAGUACGGCCGCAAGGCUAAAACUCAAAGGAAUUGACGG
This 911-nucleotide ribosomal RNA is filed under the name uncultured bacterium. RNAcentral describes it as "bacterial SSU rRNA". It matches the Rfam family "Bacterial small subunit ribosomal RNA", at positions 8 to 916 of the family's 1533-position model. The record is from RNAcentral.